CCUACGGGCGGCAGCAGUGGGGAAUAUUGCACAAUGGGGGAAACCCUGAUGCAGCGACGCCGCGUGAGUGAAGAAGUAUUUCGGUAUGUAAAGCUCUAUCAGCAGGGAAGAAAAUGACGGUACCUGAUUCAGAAGCCCCGGCUAACUACGUGCCAGCAGCCGCGGUAAUACGUAGGGGGCAUGCGUUAUCCGGAUUUACUGGGUGUAAAGGGAGCGUAGACGGCAGCACAAGUCUGGAGUGAAAUGCCGGGGCUUAACCCCGGAACUGCUUUGGAAACUGUGCAGCUAGAGUGCAGGAGAGGUAAGUGGAAUGCCUGGUGUAGCGGUGAAAUGCGUAGAUAUUAGGAGGAACACCAGUGGCGAAGGCGGCUUACUGGACUGUAACUGACGUUGAGGCUCGAAAGCGUGGGGAGCAAACAGGAUUAGAUACCCGGGUAGUC
This 440-nucleotide ribosomal RNA is filed under the name uncultured bacterium. RNAcentral describes it as "partial 16S ribosomal RNA". It matches the Rfam family "Bacterial small subunit ribosomal RNA", at positions 338 to 795 of the family's 1533-position model. The record is from RNAcentral.